RNAcentral lists this ribosomal RNA (254 nucleotides) under uncultured bacterium. Its description in RNAcentral is "partial 16S ribosomal RNA". It matches the Rfam family "Bacterial small subunit ribosomal RNA", at positions 526 to 779 of the family's 1533-position model. The record is from RNAcentral.
CGUAGGGGGCAAGCGUUGUCCGGAAUUAUUGGGCGUAAAGAGCGUGUAGGCGGUUCGGUAAGUCAGCUGUGAAAGUCAAGGGCUCAACCCUUGAAUGCCGGUUGAUACUGUCGGGCUAGAGUCCGGAAGAGGCGAGUGGAAUUCCCGGUGUAGCGGUGAAAUGCGCAGAUAUCGGGAGGAACACCAAUGGCGAAGGCAGCUCGCUGGGACGGUACUGACGCUGAGACGCGAAAGCGUGGGGAGCAAACAGGAUU